Molecule: ribosomal RNA, 762 nt
Filed under: uncultured Enterobacteriaceae bacterium
Lineage: Bacteria; Pseudomonadati; Pseudomonadota; Gammaproteobacteria; Enterobacterales; Enterobacteriaceae
Description: bacterial SSU rRNA
Rfam family: Bacterial small subunit ribosomal RNA
Source: RNAcentral
AUACUGACGCUGAGAUGCGAAAGCGUGGGGAGCAAACAGGAUUAGAUACCUGGUAGUCACGCUGUAAACGAUGUCGAUUUGGAGUUUGUUGCCUAGAGUGAUGGGCUCCGAAGCUAACGCGAUAAAUCGACCGCUGGGGAGUACGGCCGCAAGGUUAAAACUCAAAUGAAUUGACGGGGGCCCGCACAAGCGGUGGAGCAUGUGGUUUAAUUCGAUGCAACGCGAAGAACCUUACCUGGUCUUGACAUCCAUAGAAUUCUGCAGAGAUGUGGGAGUGCCUUCGGGAACUAUGAGACAGGUGCUGCAUGGCUGUCGUCAGCUCGUGUUGUGAAAUGUUGGGUUAAGUCCCGCAACGAGCGCAACCCUUAUUCUUUGUUGCCAGCGAUUUGGUCGGGAACUCAAAGGAGACUGCCGUUGAUAAAGCGGAGGAAGGUGGGGACGACGUCAAGUCAUCAUGGCCCUUACGACCAGGGCUACACACGUGCUACAAUGGCGUAUACAAAGGGAAGCGAAGGUGCGAGCUGGAGCGGAUCUCAUAAAGUACGUCUAAGUUCGGAUUGGAGUCUGCAACUCGACUCCAUGAAGUCGGAAUCGCUAGUAAUCGUAGAUCAGAAUGCUACGGUGAAUACGUUCCCGGGCCUUGUACACACCGCCCGUCACACCAUGGGAGUGGGUUGCACCAGAAGUAGAUAGCUUAACCGCGAGGGGGGCGUUUACCACGGUGUGAUUCAUGACUGGGGUGAAGUCGUAACAAGGUAACCA